Long non-coding RNA from Spinacia oleracea (spinach), 851 nucleotides. RefSeq lists it as uncharacterized. NCBI's taxonomy places the organism in Eukaryota, Viridiplantae, Streptophyta, Magnoliopsida, Caryophyllales, Amaranthaceae. The record is from RefSeq and is a predicted model, not a curated record. The transcript has 2 exons.
UUUUCCCAGAUUUUUUUUCUCUUUCCCCAUUUUCAGAUUUCUUUUUCUCUCUCUUCACUUCCUCUUCUAGAUUCAGAUUUUUCUCUCUCCACCAUCAAUGGUCGCCGCUCGUUCUCGCUGGUCGCCGCCAGUAUGUCGUCGGUAGCUGCUCGUCGGUCGGUGCUCGCAGUGGUGGUUCCUUCGUUGCCGCGAAAUAUAAAUCAAUUGAUUUCUCAAUUUGAACGAAAUCGAAAUCGAACCAAAAUCGAACGACAAUUCUCAAUCGUCAUUCGAAAAAUUCAAACCAAAAUCGAACGAAAUCGAUUGUGGCGGCGGUUUUCAUUAUUUCCGGCUCUCAUUCUCUCUCUUCAAUUCCUCUCUCUCUCCUUUUCGAACACCACCAACAUUCGGCCUCGCUCGCCGCCGCCGCUGCUUGACUCUCGCCGCUACUCACUACCUUUCAAUCGCCGGUCGCGGUGGUUGUGGUUCGCGGUGGUUUCAACAAUUUCGAUUAUACCGUUCGCGGUGGUUGUGGUUCUUGAAUCAGAUUUCAAUUUCGGUUGAGGACGAAGGAGUAGACGAGUAUGACUUUGGUCCUCCGGUCAUUUACGAGGACAAGGAUGAAAGAAGCGAAGAAGAAGAAGAAGAAUCCGAAGAAGAUGCAAUGGACAUCGAUGAAGACACUAAAGAACCCGAAGAUUUCAGUGGUAUAAGCGAUGCUAAACUAAGUGAAGGAUUUAUUAGUGAUUGAAUUACAUGAUCUUGUAUUGCUAUUAUUAUCAUUUUUUCGGGCUUUUCGGGUUAGAAGAAAAUUUUGUUGUAAUUGGUGAGAAUUAGAUUACUUGUAGGAGUCUUGAAACUUUUUGCUAGAA